UUGUUAGUGGCAGACGGGUGAGUAAUGCGUAGGAAUCUACCUAGUAGUACGGAAUAGCCAUUAGAAAUGGUGGGUAAUACUGUAUAAUCCCCGAGGGGGAAAGAUUUAUCGCUAUUAGAUGAGCCUACGUUAGAUUAGCUAGUUGGUGAGGUAAUGGCUUACCAAGGCUAUGAUCUAUAGCUGGUCUGAGAGGACGAUCAGCCACACUGGAACUGAGAUACGGUCCAGACUCCUACGGGAGGCAGCAGUGGGGAAUAUUGGACAAUGGGCGAAAGCCUGAUCCAGCUAUGCCGCGUGAGUGAAGAAGGCCUUCGGGUUGUAAAACUCUUUCAAUAGGGAAGAUAAUGACCGGUACCUAUAAA
RNAcentral lists this ribosomal RNA (362 nucleotides) under Ehrlichia canis. Its description in RNAcentral is "bacterial SSU rRNA". It matches the Rfam family "Bacterial small subunit ribosomal RNA", at positions 89 to 485 of the family's 1533-position model. The record is from RNAcentral. Lineage: Bacteria; Pseudomonadati; Pseudomonadota; Alphaproteobacteria; Rickettsiales; Anaplasmataceae.